Molecule: long non-coding RNA, 3106 nt
Filed under: Canis lupus familiaris (dog)
Lineage: Eukaryota; Metazoa; Chordata; Mammalia; Carnivora; Canidae
Description: lncRNA (ENSCAFG00845026338.1)
Source: RNAcentral
UUCCUCUAGCAUGAGGUUCCUAAAUACCUUUUAUGUUAAAGGGCACAGAGUCUAGUGAUAGAAUACGAGGCAUUUGAGUAGGGACAUGACCCUGGCAUGGAAAGUAACCCUGUGAUGUCCACCACGACUCCCUAGAGCAUAUUUGGCUGCCUGGGUUCAAAUCUUAGCUGUUUCUUACCAGCACUGUGACCUUGGGCAAGCCAUUUAACCUCUGUGUGUCUCCAUAUUCUGAUAUAAAAAUGGGGCCACAAUAUCUACCUUUAUUAUGAUUGCAAGGAUUAAAUGAUAUAAAACAUGUAAAAGUUCUUUGAAGAAUACCCAGCACAAGAGAAGCAAUCUUUAAAUAUUAUUAUAAAUCAAUAAAACAUAUGUAUAGUUCCUAAUUUCAGUCAACUUUCAACACAAUGUAUUUUCCACGUUUCUUAUUUGGAAGUACAUCAUCUGUUAUUAAUGUUUUCUAUAGUUAGCUGGUUUAGUUGUGUGAACACAAGGCUGAGGGGCAGUAAAUGUCGAUGUGGUAAAAUGUUGAUUCGAUAACAUGUCUUCUCUAACAAGCAGUCUGAACUCUCAUGGGAAUCAAAAGUUGUGUUAAGUUGAGGUGUCUUGAAUAUUCUAUCAGGUUGAGCUAGCAAGUAAGAUGCUGGAUAUAUGAGCAUGAAGCUCAGGAACAGUUUGGGAGAUGGUUCAUCAUCAGCAUAUAGACAAUAUUGAAGUCCAUAGAUUAGCAUGCAAUCAGGAAAGGAGUGGAUAUACACAGAGAAGGGAGCCAGGCACUGAACCAGAGGCAGCCAACAAUGACAAGGAAGAAGGGGGAUGCCAAAGAGACUGAGAAGGAGCAACCACUGAGGUAGCAGGAAAAACUGGAGAAUAUGGUAUCAGGGAAGAACAGAAAGUUCUUUGCUCAGAGAGAGAGUAAUGGUGGAAAGAGGGCAAGCAAAAUUAGAUCAGGAAAUUAACUACUGGAUAUGGGCAUGUUGGAGGGUGGGAGUCACCAGAAAGAUGAGGAUAAGGGUUUUAAUGGGGUGAUACUAAUAGAAGCCUGACUGGAGUAGCUUAAAAAUCUAACACAAACAACAUAUGGGCUCUCUCUGUACAAUUACAGAUUUGCUUAUAAGAGCUUGUUUUUAAUAUCUUUUAUGGUAGACUGGUGUAGCCCUAUAGGAGAAAACAGGUUUGAGGCAGGCAAGAAUAGCCAUUCAUGUCCCUAGCUACUACAGUUUCAUGCAACAGGUAGGAUUUAAAGAUGCUUUGAGACGAGGCUGGUUUUUUAGCAGUUGGGAAAUAGAAAACACUCCCAGACACAGGGAAAAACAUAAGCCACAUGAAGGAAGUCUCUCUCUCUUUCUCUCUCUCUCUCUCUCUCUCUCUCACACACACACACACACACACACACACACACACAAGCCCUUUCAGGACUUCCUCCCACAAUAUUUCCUGAUGCCUCUCCCUUCCAGUUUUGAUCCAUUUUCCAUAAAAGGAUCAUUUCCUGUUUGCGUCUCUGAAUUGCCUGGCCUCCAAGGUCAUCAAGAAAGCCAGGAUCUUCUUGUGGCCAAAAGGGCUAAAGAAUUCAUUUGGAGUCACGCCUAGACAUCAUAUCAUGGGUACUCAGUUUGGCCCAAAUUGUGAUGCCCAGAUGAUCCACUGGAGCUCUGCUGUUGUCACAAAAGUAAUCUUCAAGAAGUCAACGAGAUAAGGAGGCAUUCUUUUAAAAAAAUAUUUUAGGAUAGUUUUAGUCUUAGAAAAAUUGUGCAGAUAGCAUAGAGACUAUCAUGUGCCCCACAUCCCGUCUCCCCUGUUGCUACAUCUCACCUCAUUAUGCUACAUACAUUUGUCACAAUUAAUGAACUAAUAUCAGUACAUUACUAUUAUUAACCAAUGUACACAUUUUUUUUUUCAGAUUUCCUUAGAAUGCCCUAUUUCUCUUCCAGGAUCCUUAGCCAUAAUUCCCAGGAGGCAUUUAAAGACCCUUACAAAUCUUUUAAGAAAGCAGCAAUGUUUGGGGCACCUGGGUGGUUCUGCUGAUUGAGUGGCUGACUCUUGGUUUCUGCUCAGGUUGUGAUCUCAGGAUUGUGGGAUUGACCCCUGUGUCAGACUCUGGGCUUGGUGUAGAGUCUGCUUGGGAUUCUCUCUUUCUCUUUCUCUCUCUCUCCCUCUGUGCCUCCCCUGCUCACAUGCACACUCUCUUUCUCUCUCUAAAGUAAAUAAAUCUUUUUUUAAAAAAAGAAAGCAGCAGGGUUUAAAUUGCUUUUGGUUCCAAUAUUUCUAACUGAAACCACUAAAGGAAAUUUAAUUCUUACUUUUCUAAAAUCAAAUUGUUGGAAUAGUUGAAUACAGAUGAAAGGGAAAAGCUUAAGGCUUACGUUGUGAGGAAAUAGUUCAAGGCAUUUUAUGGGACUGUAAUAAUGUAUAACACUAAGUGGAAGAGCUUACUCCUUUUUUAUUGUUUUGGAAGCAGGUAAUUAAAAUAUUAAAGGUUUGCAAGCUUUUCUUUUCCCCCCCUCAUCUCUUAGCAAAGGGAUUGCUCUGACUCAUUCUCCUUGGCAACCUCACAUUCAUAUAAUAUAGGCCCAGUAAUUUCAGCAAAGCUGUUCCAGGAUAGUUUUAAAAACUGGGUGCUUAAAUGUUGGGUUGUGGGGAAGUUUGCAGUAGGGGUUAUUAUAACUCCUCAACCGGGAGCAAUUAGGGCAAUGGCUUCUAAUGCUCACGGCUAUCUGUGAAAUCAAUGCUUACAAACUCUGCUCACUCUUCCCAUAAGGCCUGGAUGGGUGUGUGCAGUGAGGUAGAAGGACAGGGAUCUGGGGCCUUGACUUGGGGCUCAUAGUCCCCAUUCCAGGCGACUGUAUUUCGCCCUGUGUCUCCAUCAGACUUACAGGAAAGUUCCAAGGCAACUGCAAACCUAGGUGGCACUCAUUGCUAAAGCCACAGAGGUUGGGGAUGUUUCAUAGGAUUUUUGCCAGGUGUCACUCAAUGGCUUUAGCGGGGACUCAUAGACAAGGCUUAGGAUAUCAAGUUCAUAUUUCCCAUCCUCUCACCCAUUCACAAAGUCUCAAUAUGCCUGCUUUGUCACAGCUAGGCCAAACACCAAAAUUCCUUCUAAAAAAGAUGA